This 1060-nucleotide long non-coding RNA is filed under the name Sus scrofa (pig). RNAcentral's name for it is "lncRNA (ENSSSCG00040054400.1, ENSSSCG00060034589.1)". Lineage: Eukaryota; Metazoa; Chordata; Mammalia; Artiodactyla; Suidae. The record is from RNAcentral.
GUAUCUUUCAUGUUAUUUAAAUUUUUCACGAGAGAACGAACCGCUUUUAUAAUAAAAGAUAAAGGUUUUGCAUCUUGAAAUCCGACGCACACACAGCAAGCUGGACGGGCGGGGGCACUGGGUGGGGACCGGGUCCAGGAGCCCCUUCUGCCCCUGUUCCCCCCGGUUCCAGUUCUCCCUCCAAGGGGCUGAGCCCACAUUCCCGGAGGGGCGAAGGAACGGGCAGCAGACAUGUACUGAGCAGGGAAGGGCAAAUGCAGAGUCGUCUGCAGGCUGGAGCCCAGGGCAGGUGCCGUGGGCGUCCUUGGCCGUGGCCGCUCCCUUGGGGCAGGCGCCUCCCUCAAAGUUUCCUGUAGCUUCAACAUUUCCAGGUUUGGCCGAUGGUGCAGUGUUUUGGGGCGGGCGCAUCUCCCGUUGACAAGUCACACACUCAAACGCCUUGAGGGGACUGGGCCGGCCCCAUGUUCUCCCAGGGACCCUCUGGGCGAGCUCGUGGCCCCCACAGGAGGGAGUUAAAACAGCCUUCACCGCCCGUGGGACCUUCUGGGUUGUCUCCCGUCUUUGUUCCCCAGCUCGGGGCCCCCACUUACAAUCGGCAACGCAUCCCCCCUGGACCACCAGCCCACAAGGACUUGGACCCUGGGUGUCUACAUGGGAGGCCAUCCUGGGAAGGGUUUGGAUGGCGCUGCCCGGGGCCCUGGGAGUCAGGGUGGGGCAAGAUCCGUGGGUUGACCUCACCCACUGGGGCGGGGCACUGGCCAUGCAGCCUCUGUAAGGGUGGUAUCAGUUCGUGGGCGACGCCCCCUCCCAGCUCGGUGAAAAUGGAGCCUGAAGAAGCCAGGGACCCCCUUUGCAGCCCCUUCUGGGCAGCCCCGAGUGGCCGGUGGCUCAGGAGGAGUGUCUGUGGGUCUCAGGGGCAAUGGGGCGGGGGUGGGGGUGGAGGUGGAGCCUGCGUCCUUAAACUGAUGGGGCGGACGCUGGCUACACCUACUGAGCAGAGGGUCGCUCUGGGAGUUUUGCUCAGGUGGGAUAUUAGGAGGCAGGACCCUGGAAAGUGCUC